GUCCUAGCUGUAAACGAUGGGCACUAGGUGUGGGGGGAUCGACCCCUUCCGUGCCGCAGUUAACGCAUUAAGUGCCCCGCCUGGGGAGUACGACCGCAAGGUUGAAACUCAAAGGAAUUGACGGGGGCCCGCACAAGCGGUGGAGCAUGUGGUUUAAUUCGAUGAUACGCGAAGAACCUUACCGGGGCUUGACAUGCAGCAGAACAUUAGUGGAAACACAAAUGGUCCCUCACGGGACUGUUGCACAGGUGCUGCAUGGCUGUCGU
Molecule: ribosomal RNA, 266 nt
Filed under: uncultured bacterium
Lineage: Bacteria
Description: partial 16S ribosomal RNA
Rfam family: Bacterial small subunit ribosomal RNA
Source: RNAcentral